GACGAACGCUGGCGGCGUGCUUAACACAUGCAAGUCGAACGGUAAGGCCCUUUCGGGGGUACACGAGUGGCGAACGGGUGAGUAACACGUGGGUGAUCUGCCCUGCACUUUGGGAUAAGCCUGGGAAACUGGGUCUAAUACCGGAUAGGACUACGCGAUGCAUGUCGUGUGGUGGAAAGCUUUUGCGGUGUGGGAUGGGCCCGCGGCCUAUCAGCUUGUUGGUGGGGUGAUGGCCUACCAAGGCGACGACGGGUAGCCAGCCUGAGAGGGUGUCCGGCCACACUGGGACUGAGAUACGGCCCAGACUCCUACGGGAGGCAGCAGUGGGGAAUAUUGCACAAUGGGCGCAAGCCUGAUGCAGCGACGCCGCGUGGGGGAUGACGGCCUUCGGGUUGUAAACCCCUUUCAGCACAGACGAAGCGUAAGUGACGGUAUGUGCAGAAGAAGCACCGGCCAACUACGUG
This 464-nucleotide ribosomal RNA is filed under the name uncultured bacterium. Its description in RNAcentral is "partial 16S ribosomal RNA". It matches the Rfam family "Bacterial small subunit ribosomal RNA", at positions 28 to 507 of the family's 1533-position model. The record is from RNAcentral.